GAUGAACGCUGGCGGCGUGCCUAAUACAUGCAAGUCGGGCGAACAGAUGAGGAGCUUGCUCCUCUGACGUUAGCGGCGGACGGGUGAGUAACACGUGGAUAACCUACCUAUAAGACUGGGAUAACUUCGGGAAACCGGAGCUAAUACCGGAUAAUAUAUUGAACCGCAUGGUUCAAUAGUGAAAGACGGUUUUGCUGUCACUUAUAGAUGGAUCCGCGCCGCAUUAGCUAGUUGGUAAGGUAACGGCUUACCAAGGCAACGAUGCGUAGCCGACCUGAGAGGGUGUUCGGCCACACUGGAACUGAGACACGGUCCAGACUCCUACGGGAGGCAGCAGUAGGGAAUCUUCCGCAAUGGGCGAAAGCCUGACGGAGCAACGCCGCGUGAGUGAUGAAGGUCUUCGGAUCGUAAAACUCUGUUAUUAGGGAAGAACAAAUGUGUAAGUAACUAUGCACGUCUUGACGGUACCUAAUCAGAAAGCCACGGCUAACUACGUG
RNAcentral lists this ribosomal RNA (497 nucleotides) under uncultured bacterium. RNAcentral describes it as "partial 16S ribosomal RNA". It matches the Rfam family "Bacterial small subunit ribosomal RNA", at positions 28 to 507 of the family's 1533-position model. The record is from RNAcentral.